RNAcentral lists this ribosomal RNA (460 nucleotides) under uncultured bacterium. RNAcentral's name for it is "partial 16S ribosomal RNA". It matches the Rfam family "Bacterial small subunit ribosomal RNA", at positions 338 to 795 of the family's 1533-position model. The record is from RNAcentral.
CCUACGGGGAGCUGCAGUGAGGAAUAUUGGUCAAUGGACGAGAGUCUGAACCAGCCAAGUAGCGUGAAGGAUGACUGCCCUAUGGGUUGUAAACUUCUUUUAUAUGGGAAUAAAACGUUCCACGUGUGGGAUUUUGUAUGUACCAUAUGAAUAAGGAUCGGCUAACUCCGUGCCAGCAGCCGCGGUAAUACGGAGGAUCCGAGCGUUAUCCGGAUUUAUUGGGUUUAAAGGGAGCGUAGGUGGAUUGUUAAGUCAGUUGUGAAAGUUUGCGGCUCAUCCGUAAAAUUGCAGUUGAAACUGGCAGUCUUGAGUACAGUAGAGGUGGGCGGAAUUCGUGGUGUAGCGGUGAAAUGCUUAGAUAUCACGAAGAACUCCGAUUGCGAAGGCAGUUCACUGGACUGCAACUGACACUGAGGCUCGAAAGUGUGGGUAUCAAACAGGAUUAGAUACCCUUGUAGUC